UAGCUCAGUUGGUAAAGAAUCUGCCUGCAAUGCAGGAGACCUAGGUUCAAAACCUGG
RNAcentral lists this transfer RNA (57 nucleotides) under Bos taurus (domestic cattle). It matches the Rfam family "tRNA", at positions 8 to 63 of the family's 71-position model. From Rfam's summary of the family: Transfer RNA (tRNA) molecules are approximately 80 nucleotides in length. Their secondary structure includes four short double-helical elements and three loops (D, anti-codon, and T loops). Further hydrogen bonds mediate the characteristic L-shaped molecular structure. tRNAs have two regions of fundamental functional importance: the anti-codon, which is responsible for specific mRNA codon recognition, and the 3' end, to which the tRNAs corresponding amino acid is attached (by aminoacyl-tRNA synthetases). tRNAs cope with the degeneracy of the genetic code in two manners: having more than one tRNA (with a specific anti-codon) for a particular amino acid; and 'wobble' base-pairing, i.e. permitting non-standard base-pairing at the 3rd anti-codon position. The record is from Rfam by way of RNAcentral. Lineage: Eukaryota; Metazoa; Chordata; Mammalia; Artiodactyla; Bovidae. RNAcentral also lists the same sequence under 2 other names.